Small nuclear RNA from Bos taurus (domestic cattle), 106 nucleotides. The record is from Ensembl. Lineage: Eukaryota; Metazoa; Chordata; Mammalia; Artiodactyla; Bovidae.
AUGCUUGCUAUGGCAGCAUAAAUACUAAAAUUCAAGCCUACAGAGGAAAUUAGCAUAGCCCCUGUGUAAGGAUGACGUGAAGAUUCAUGAAGCAUUCCAUAUUUUU